UCAGUGGGUUAUCUGAGGUGGGACUUGGUAUGAUGUCUGCUACCUUGAUACCCCACCAG
RNAcentral lists this microRNA precursor (59 nucleotides) under Mus caroli (Ryukyu mouse). Its description in RNAcentral is "microRNA 7055 (MGP_CAROLIEiJ_G0008100.1)". The record is from RNAcentral. Lineage: Eukaryota; Metazoa; Chordata; Mammalia; Rodentia; Muridae.